This 505-nucleotide ribosomal RNA is filed under the name uncultured bacterium. Its description in RNAcentral is "partial 16S ribosomal RNA". It matches the Rfam family "Bacterial small subunit ribosomal RNA", at positions 29 to 523 of the family's 1533-position model. The record is from RNAcentral.
AACGAACGCUGGCGGCGUGCUUAACACAUGCAAGUCGAACGCGAACGGGUUCUUCGGGACCUUAGUAGAGUGGCGCACGGGUGAGUAACGCGUAAGUUAUCUACCUCGGCAUCUGGAAUAACUCACCGAAAGGUGUGCUAAUACCGGAUACGUUGAGUAAUCAAGAAAGGUGGCCUCUGAAUAUGCUACCGUGCUGAGAUGAGCUUGCGUACCAUUAGCUAGUUGGUGGGGUAAUGGCCUACCAAGGCGACGAUGGUUAGCGGGUCUGAGAGGAUGAUCCGCCACCAUGGAAAUGGAACACGGAACAGACUCCUAAGGGAGGCAGCAGUGAGGAAUAUUUGGCAAUGGGGGCAACCCUGACGCAGCGACGCCGCGUGGAUGAUGAAGGCCUUCGGGUCGUAAAAUCCUGUCAGGUGGAAAGAAAUGUAUAUGUGCUAAUACCAUGUAUACUUGGCGGUACCACCGAAGGAAGCACCGGCUAACUCCGUGCCAGCCGCCGCAGUAA